Molecule: unclassified non-coding RNA, 324 nt
Filed under: soil metagenome
Description: partial contains 5.8S ribosomal RNA, internal transcribed spacer 2, and large subunit ribosomal RNA
Rfam family: 5.8S ribosomal RNA (bases 1-120)
Source: RNAcentral
GAUGAAGAACGCAGCGAAAUGCGAUAAGUAGUGUGAAUUGCAGAAUUCAGUGAAUCAUCGAAUCUUUGAACGCACAUUGCGCCCCUUGGUAUUCCAUGGGGCAUGCCUGUUCGAGCGUCAUUUGUACCUUCAAGCUUUGCUUGGUGUUGGGUGUUUGUCCCGAGGGACUCGCCUUAAAGUAAUUGGCAGCCAGUGUUUGGUUUUGAAGCGCAGCACAAGUCGCGAUUCAAGGCUACACGCCCGCUUCCACAAGCCUUUUUUCACUUUUGACCUCGGAUCAGGCAGGGAUACCCGCUGAACUUAAGCAUAUCAAUAAGCGGAGGA